GCCCUCCAACUGUAUCUCGAGAUUGGUUUGCAAAAACAAUAAGUUUCAUGGCCAAUUUCACUGAUCUAAAAACCUCUAGAGAAUUAGCUCAUUUUUUGGUCAGUUCUAAGAAUAAAUUCAGUAAGUAGAACAUGUCUAUAAAUCAGUAGACUACACUCUAAUCCUCCUUGUCAUUUGACCUCCUCCUGAAUUCAAAAAGUUAGUUUCAG
RNAcentral lists this unclassified non-coding RNA (209 nucleotides) under Hevea brasiliensis (rubber tree). The record is from RNAcentral. Lineage: Eukaryota; Viridiplantae; Streptophyta; Magnoliopsida; Malpighiales; Euphorbiaceae.